UCUGCCUUAUCGGCAAGCGGUCUCGUUAAAGUGCCCAACUUAAUGCUGGCAACUAACGACAAGGGUUGCGCUCGUUGCGGGACUUAACCCAACAUCUCACGACACGAGCUGACGACAGCCAUGCAGCACCUGUCACCACGUCCCCGAAGGGAACUCCGACUUUCACCGGAUAGCGUGGGAUGUCAAGCCCAGGUAAGGUUUUUCGCGUUGCAUCGAAUUAAACCACAUACUCCACCGCUUGUGCGGGCCCCCGUCAAUUUCUUUGAGUUUUAAUCUUGCGACCGUAAUCCCCAGGCGGGAUACUUAAUGCGUUAGCGACGACACCGAGAGGGUAAGAACUCCCGACAUCUAGUAUCCAUCGUUUACGGCGUGGACUAC
RNAcentral lists this unclassified non-coding RNA (378 nucleotides) under uncultured delta proteobacterium. RNAcentral's name for it is "contains 16S-23S intergenic spacer region". The record is from RNAcentral. Lineage: Bacteria; Deltaproteobacteria.